GCCAUGACAACCCACUCAGGAAAGUACCUAGGUGCCAGACUUAGAUGUUUUUUUUUUUUCUUUUUGGGUCCCAGAGGAGUACCAGAGUGAGUUCAUAAUUCUUUUAUUGCUACCUGGAGAGAAGCCUUUCCCACUCAGUGUUGCAUCCAAUGGCAGAUCAACACUCUUGGAAUGGUAUGCUAAUAUGCACCUCUUGGAACUUCUAUGCUCUGAUAAUGCAACCAACACAGGAGAAUGGCAGAAGAGCAGAGCUGGAGGCCUUCCCUUCCUUCCAUUUCUGGAGGACUGUGUCAGUGCCAGAUUUUGUGAUGGUUGCCAGUGAUUCAAGAUUGAACAAUGUACAGACAGUCCCACCUUUAAGACAUUAUAUGAUCAAGACCUUGAUUCACACAUAAAAGCUUCCCCCCAAAUGGGGUAAUCAUUCCUAAAAGAGAGAAAGUGGAGGAAUAAAGCCUUCACCAAAAUAUUAUACCA
This 474-nucleotide long non-coding RNA is filed under the name Vulpes vulpes (red fox). RNAcentral's name for it is "lncRNA (ENSVVUG00000022017.1)". The record is from RNAcentral. Lineage: Eukaryota; Metazoa; Chordata; Mammalia; Carnivora; Canidae.